RNAcentral lists this ribosomal RNA (397 nucleotides) under uncultured bacterium. RNAcentral describes it as "partial 16S ribosomal RNA". It matches the Rfam family "Bacterial small subunit ribosomal RNA", at positions 523 to 918 of the family's 1533-position model. The record is from RNAcentral.
AUACGUAGGUGACAAGCGUUAUCCGGAUUUACUGGGUGUAAAGGGCGUGUAGGCGGGGAUGCAAGUCAGAUGUGAAAUUCCGGGGCUCAACCCCGGCACUGCAUCUGAAACUGUGUCUCUUGAGUGCUGGAGAGGAAAGCGGAAUUCCUAGGGUAGCGGUGAAAUGCGUAGAUAUUAGGAGGAACACCAGUGGCGAAGGCGGCUUUCUGGACAGUAACUGACGCUGAGGCGCGAAAGCGUGGGUAGCGAACAGGAUUAGAUACCCUGGUAGUCCACGCCGUAAACGAUGGAUACUAGGUGUAGGAGGUAUCGACCCCUUCUGUGCCGGAGUUAACACAAUAAGUAUCCCACCUGGGGAGUACGGCCGCAAGGUUGAAACUUAAAUGAAUUGACGGGG